AGAGCAGGUGUGUGAUCUCCCUGUGAUCCGAGAGCAGGGGCAGUUGGUGCAGUGGCCCUGCCCCAGGCCCGGGACACCAGAGAUAAGGAAGGCAGUGAUGCCAACGGAUGCCAGCAGAUCUGCCUGUGGACCAGUGUCCAUGGCAGCUCUCUGCCCAGAGGCCAACCGUGGCAGCCACUUCAACGCCCAUCGACAGAUGAAUGCUGACACAACUGCCCCUUGGACCCGCCCGACAGUGGAGGCUGGUUCUCCGAGGAGGACGACAACCCGUUGCCCGCGUUGCCCAGCCGUAGGCGGAGGACAGGAGACCGGCCGGCAGGCUUACUGACACGCCGACACGCUGGUUUGGCCAUACUGAGAAGAGCUGCGUGGUCAUCGCCACAGCAAACUCAGACCAUCUCCUUCUGUCUUGUGCUCACUGCAUGAGCUCCGCGUCCCCAACCCCAAGAGGCGGGUAUGAAUCCAGUUACUGAGAUGGUACCUCCAUACGGGAGUGGACAGCCUCAUCUUUCUCCUCCAAAGCAGCUGGCAGUUUUGAACCGCUGACCUUGUGGUGAGAAGCCCAACGCAUAACCCACUGUGCCAUCGGGGCUCUGGGUGCAGACGCAGACCCUGAAGUGCCUGGCCAGCAAGCAAGGUGGGUCCACCCACAUGCAGAUACGCCCACCUACGAGUACCCAG
This is a long non-coding RNA of Echinops telfairi (small Madagascar hedgehog), 681 nucleotides long. RefSeq lists it as uncharacterized. The record is from RefSeq and is a predicted model, not a curated record. The transcript has 5 exons. NCBI's taxonomy places the organism in Eukaryota, Metazoa, Chordata, Mammalia, Afrosoricida, Tenrecidae.